GGGCCCGUAGCUCAAUUGGAGUAGAGCGAGGGACUUCUAAUCCCUAGGUUGAGGGUUCGAUUCCCUCCGGGCCCGCCA
RNAcentral lists this transfer RNA (78 nucleotides) under Bacillota bacterium. Its description in RNAcentral is "tRNA-Arg". It matches the Rfam family "tRNA". From Rfam's summary of the family: Transfer RNA (tRNA) molecules are approximately 80 nucleotides in length. Their secondary structure includes four short double-helical elements and three loops (D, anti-codon, and T loops). RNAcentral also lists the same sequence under 2 other names. Lineage: Bacteria; Bacillati; Bacillota. The record is from RNAcentral.